UGCCAGCCGCCGCGGUAAUACAGAGGGCCCGAGCGUUAAUCGGAAUCACUGGGCUUAAAGAGUGCGUAGGCGGACAUGUAGGUAUUUUGUGAAAUCCCUCGGCUCAACCGGGGAAUUGCUUGAUAAACCACAUGUCUUGAGGCAGGUAGGGGUGGUCGGAACGCUAGGUGGAGCGGUGAAAUGCGUAGAUAUCUAGCGGAACGCCAAAGGAGAAGUCAGGCCACUGGGCCUGUCCUGACGCUGAGGCACGAAAGCUAAGGUAGCAAACGGGAUUAGAUA
Molecule: ribosomal RNA, 279 nt
Filed under: uncultured bacterium
Lineage: Bacteria
Description: partial 16S ribosomal RNA
Rfam family: Bacterial small subunit ribosomal RNA
Source: RNAcentral